This 338-nucleotide ribosomal RNA is filed under the name uncultured Spongospora. RNAcentral's name for it is "SSU rRNA". The stretch from base 113 to 338 matches the Rfam family "Eukaryotic small subunit ribosomal RNA", at positions 734 to 955 of the family's 1831-position model. Lineage: Eukaryota; Endomyxa; Phytomyxea; Plasmodiophorida; Plasmodiophoridae. The record is from RNAcentral.
GACUUGUGUGCAUGGGAACUCGCGGUCUUCGUCCAAAAGGGCGUUACGACAUGCGGUUCCUGUGCCGUAAAAUCUUCAACUGGAUCGCACCUGGUCUUGAUUGACUGGGAGCUGUCAUUCGGUUGAUCGUUUACUGUGAGAAAAUUAGAGUGUUCAAGGCAGGCAUAAUUGCAAUUGAAUAUGUUAGCAUGGAAUAAUAAGAUAGGGCUCCGGCUCAUAUUUUGUUGGUUUCUAGAGCGUGGGAGUAAUGAUUGAUAGGGACAGUUGGGGGUGCUAGUAUUCAGCGGCCAGAGGUGAAAUUCAUGGAUUCGCUGAAGACUGACUUAUGCGAAAGCAUU